GCGCCAGUAGCUCAGCUGGAUAGAGUACUUGACUACGAAUCAAGGGGUCAGGGGUUCGAAUCCCUUCUGGCGCACCA
RNAcentral lists this transfer RNA (77 nucleotides) under Emcibacteraceae bacterium. RNAcentral describes it as "tRNA-Arg". It matches the Rfam family "tRNA". Rfam says of the family: Transfer RNA (tRNA) molecules are approximately 80 nucleotides in length. Lineage: Bacteria; Pseudomonadati; Pseudomonadota; Alphaproteobacteria; Emcibacterales; Emcibacteraceae. The record is from RNAcentral.